RNAcentral lists this ribosomal RNA (400 nucleotides) under uncultured bacterium. RNAcentral describes it as "bacterial SSU rRNA". It matches the Rfam family "Bacterial small subunit ribosomal RNA", at positions 355 to 772 of the family's 1533-position model. The record is from RNAcentral.
UGGGGAAUAUUGGACAAUGGGCGAAAGCCUGAUCCAGCCAUGCCGCGUGAGUGAAGAAGGCCUUAGGGUUGUAAAGCUCUUUCAAUAGGGAUGAUAAUGACCGUACCUAUAGAAGAAGCCCCGGCUAACUCCGUGCCAGCAGCCGCGGUAAGACGGAGGGGGCUAGCGUUGUUCGGAAUUACUGGGCGUAAAGGGUGCGUAGGCGGGUUAAUAAGUCAAAUGUGAAAGCCCUGAGCUUAACUUAGGAACUGCAUUUGAUACUGUUAAUCUUGAGGAAAGGAGAGGUAAGUGGAAUUCCGAGUGUAGAAGUGAAAUUCGUAGAUAUUCGGAGGAACACCAGUGGCGAAGGCGACUUACUGGACUUUUUCUGACGCUGAGGCACGAAAGCGUGGGUAGCAAA